GACGAACGCUGGCGGCGUGCCUAAUACAUGCAAGUCGAACGAGAGCGACCGGUGCUUGCACUGGUCAAUCUAGUGGCGAACGGGUGAGUAACACGUGGGUAACCUGCCCAUCCGAGGGGGAUAACAUCCGGAAACGGAUGCUAAAACCGCAUAGGUCUUCGAACCGCAUGGUUUGAAGAGGAAAAGAGGCGCAAGCUUCUGCUGAUGGAUGGACCCGCGGUGCAUUAGCUAGUUGGUGAGGUAACGGCUCACCAAGGCCGUGAUGCAUAGCCGACCUGAGAGGGUGAUCGGCCACAUUGGGACUGAGACACGGCCCAAACUCCUACGGGAGGCAGCAGUAGGGAAUCUUCCGCAAAGGACGCAAGUCUGACGGAGCAACGCCGCGUGAGUGAAGAAGGUUUUCGGAUCGUAAAACUCUGUUGUUAGAGAAGAACAAGUGCUAGAGUAACUGUUAGCGCCUUGACGGUAUCUAACCAGAAAGCCACGGCUAACUACGUG
RNAcentral lists this ribosomal RNA (498 nucleotides) under uncultured bacterium. RNAcentral's name for it is "partial 16S ribosomal RNA". It matches the Rfam family "Bacterial small subunit ribosomal RNA", at positions 28 to 507 of the family's 1533-position model. The record is from RNAcentral.